RNAcentral lists this transfer RNA (74 nucleotides) under Bacillus cereus. RNAcentral describes it as "tRNA-Met". It matches the Rfam family "tRNA". Rfam says of the family: Transfer RNA (tRNA) molecules are approximately 80 nucleotides in length. Their secondary structure includes four short double-helical elements and three loops (D, anti-codon, and T loops). Lineage: Bacteria; Bacillati; Bacillota; Bacilli; Caryophanales; Bacillaceae. The record is from RNAcentral.
GGACCUUUAGCUCAACUGGUUAGAGCAGACGGCUCAUAACCGUCCGGUAGUAGGUUCGAGUCCUACAAGGUUCA